AGUGAACGCUGGCGGUAGGCCUAACACAUGCCAGUCGAACGGCAGCACAGUAAGAGCUUGCUCUUACGGGUGGCGAGUGGCGGACGGGUGAGGAAUACAUCGGAAUCUACUUUUUCGUGGGGGAUAACGUAGGGAAACUUACGCUAAUACCGCAUACGACCUACGGGUGAAAGCAGGGGAUCUUCGGACCUUGCGCGAUUGAAUGAGCCGAUGUCGGAUUAGCUAGUUGGCGGGGUAAAGGCCCACCAAGGCGACGAUCCGUAGCUGGUCUGAGAGGAUGAUAAGCAACACUGGAACUGAGACAAGGUCCAGACUCCUACGGGAGGCAGCAGUGGGGAAUAUUGGACAAUGGGCGCAAGCCUGAUCCAGCCAUACCGCGUGGGUGAAGAAGGCCUUCGGGUUGUAAAGCCCUUUUGUUGGGAAAGAAAAGCAGCAGGUUAAUACCCCGCUGUUCUGACGGUACCCAAAGAAUAAGCACCGGCUAACUUCGUG
Molecule: ribosomal RNA, 492 nt
Filed under: uncultured bacterium
Lineage: Bacteria
Description: partial 16S ribosomal RNA
Rfam family: Bacterial small subunit ribosomal RNA
Source: RNAcentral